GGAGAUGUAAGCCUAACGGUAAGGCAGCGGUUUGCUAAACCGCUAGUAAGCGCCAUACGGCGCUGUGCAGGUUCGAGUCCUGCCAUCUUCGCCA
RNAcentral lists this transfer RNA (94 nucleotides) under Caudoviricetes sp. RNAcentral describes it as "tRNA-Ser". It matches the Rfam family "tRNA". Rfam says of the family: Transfer RNA (tRNA) molecules are approximately 80 nucleotides in length. Their secondary structure includes four short double-helical elements and three loops (D, anti-codon, and T loops). Further hydrogen bonds mediate the characteristic L-shaped molecular structure. tRNAs have two regions of fundamental functional importance: the anti-codon, which is responsible for specific mRNA codon recognition, and the 3' end, to which the tRNAs corresponding amino acid is attached (by aminoacyl-tRNA synthetases). tRNAs cope with the degeneracy of the genetic code in two manners: having more than one tRNA (with a specific anti-codon) for a particular amino acid; and 'wobble' base-pairing, i.e. permitting non-standard base-pairing at the 3rd anti-codon position. The record is from RNAcentral. Lineage: Duplodnaviria; Heunggongvirae; Uroviricota; Caudoviricetes.